GUCUAAAUUAUUCCCAAACGCGACCUUCACUCGACCAGUGAGAAUAGUGCCGAUGCCAAGUAAGAUCAGCGCUGUCAGAUUAUCGUGGGAAGUGCCCUACCCUGCCCACAACGUGAAAAACCUGUUCCUACAACUGAGUGUUUCAGGAUCUGGUGUGUUUCAGGAGCAGUUCAACUCUAUUAGUCGUUCAAGACAGUUGUGCUUACAAUAUAUACCUGUGGCAUAUCCUACGUUAUUAGCCUUUGAAAUGGCUUCGAUUAACAAGUGUUUAAAAUGGGUCUUCAUUUUCUUCAACGCAUUUUUCGCGCUGACAGGCGCUGUGUUCGUUGCAAUCGCAGAGGCUGCUGCAGUGAGAGCGGAAACGGGGCAUUUCUGGCCAUUAAUAUUUGGAGGACUUGUGGCAGGGAUUUCCACUCUUGGAGUCUACGGUGCAUACAAAGAGAAGAAAUGGGCCCUGAUCUUGUUUUCUGUUCUUGUGUGCAUUGGCAUGGUCCUUUGCCUGGUUGGAGCUGUGAACAUGGUUAACGUAAGGGCCAUGUUAACCACAAAAGUUGAAGAUGAAUUUAAAGGGGAU
This is a long non-coding RNA of Clupea harengus (Atlantic herring), 574 nucleotides long. Lineage: Eukaryota; Metazoa; Chordata; Actinopteri; Clupeiformes; Clupeidae. The record is from Ensembl.